GACAAAACUCAAUCCAAUGUGAGGGAAACCACACUUUUUUUUUUCUAUUCACACAGAUACCUGCUACCCAGGAUGCAAACACUGUAGUUCAGGUAUGGUGUGUAUGUGUGGGGAGCGUACCUAUGUUCCCCGGGUCCUAUGUUCCCCGCUUUGUAUGGGACCGGGGAACAUAGGACCCUUUUUUAAAACCCUAACCCCGAGCGGGGAACAUAGGGAUGACCCCGUAUGUGUGUGCGUGUGCGUGCGUGUGCAUAUAUGUUCACUGAUGAUCUUUUUACACUGACUGAGUACACUACUGAGGUUGUAGAUGUUCUCGGUGAUGAAAGCGUAUCCAAAUCCAAUGUAAGUUUUCAGAUGAUGAUUAAACAUCAUAUUACUACUUAUUACAUUUCUUUAACCAAAUUGACCUUUACUUUAAAUUGAAUGUAACAUUUACAGGACAAUGAGACAAAAAUGAAGGAGGAGUGUUGAAAAGUAAACCCUGAUCUAAAUACGAUUGAAAACAGAAUGAGGAGAACAAUCAGUGACAGAGUGGCAUUUAUUCAACGCCACUCCACACAGGAAAUCCUUACCGAAUACCCAGCUUUACACCACAUUUGAACUGUUUUCUCUGAAAUUCAGCACCUGCAUAACAUUGACCUAAGUACCAGGCCUGUGAGGAGACAACCUACAAAUACAAAGGACUCGCAGAGCGGCCAUAUCUGUUUGGGGACAAUCUUGACCGGCUCAUACGUUGUGGAUAAGAUAUCCAAGACACCCACACCUACCCUAUGCAUGAGAGGCAACCCCUUCGAGGAAGACACCACCAUUACACUUUGCAUGGACGGACAAGACGUCGUAACACCAGAAGAUGUGUCGAUGGGCAUUGGAGCAUUGCUAGCAGUUUAUUUAAUUUUUAAUAUGGAAUACCUGUCAUUUCUGCAGUGCAUGGCAGGGAUCAAAUCAAAUCAAAAGCUUUCAUCAGCUGUAAUUAGAAUGUCCAACAUUCUCCUGUAAAAUAUGUAAUGUAAACAUGUGUAACUAUUGAUCAGUGUCAUUUAUUAUUAAUGUUUCUAUGUAUGAAUGUAUCUAUCUAUUAAUGUAUGUAUAUCUUUUUUUCUAUUCCUUGUUUUUGUGUUGUAUUUUCUGUAACUUGCUGUGUAAUAAAUUCUUGAAACAAUGUCA
Molecule: long non-coding RNA, 1164 nt
Organism: Alosa sapidissima (American shad)
Lineage: Eukaryota; Metazoa; Chordata; Actinopteri; Clupeiformes; Clupeidae
Exons: 4
Source: RefSeq, a predicted model, not a curated record